RNAcentral lists this ribosomal RNA (253 nucleotides) under uncultured bacterium. RNAcentral describes it as "partial 16S ribosomal RNA". It matches the Rfam family "Bacterial small subunit ribosomal RNA", at positions 524 to 776 of the family's 1533-position model. The record is from RNAcentral.
UACGAAGGGGGCUAGCGUUGCUCGGAAUCACUGGGCGUAAAGCGCACGUAGGCGGCUUUCUAAGUCAGGGGUGAAAUCCUGGAGCUCAACUCCAGAACUGCCUUUGAUACUGGAGAGCUUGAGUCCGGGAGAGGUGAGUGGAACUCCGAGUGUAGAGGUGAAAUUCGUAGAUAUUCGGAAGAACACCAGUGGCGAAGGCGGCUCACUGGUCCGGUACUGACGCUGAGGCGCGAAAGCGUGGGGAGCAAACAGG